Long non-coding RNA from Drosophila nasuta, 329 nucleotides. RefSeq lists it as uncharacterized. The record is from RefSeq and is a predicted model, not a curated record. The transcript is spliced from 3 exons. NCBI's taxonomy places the organism in Eukaryota, Metazoa, Arthropoda, Insecta, Diptera, Drosophilidae.
UACAAUCUCUGUGGUUGAGCUUUCAUUAGACACAAUAAUAGUGUUGAUUGGCUUACUGAUUGGCCAACACUUCCUGGCCAAAAAUUAUUUUCCUAUAGAUUCGCUUAACUGCUUAACUAAUUCAAGUCGGAACUCGCUUAAGGGAGAUUGGGGGUGGUGUACACGAGUAAUUAGUUUCUAUGAAGUGUCGUGGAGUUUCGGAAUGUAAACAGCAUAUUUCGAUUAUUUGCAUAAUUAUCAUAUCAGACUACAAUAUCAAAAGCACACUGUGGAUAUUUGGAGUGCUCUUCUCUAUGAACUGGUUUUUUUUUUGUUUUUUAGACGCUUGG